Molecule: ribosomal RNA, 403 nt
Filed under: uncultured bacterium
Lineage: Bacteria
Description: bacterial SSU rRNA
Rfam family: Bacterial small subunit ribosomal RNA
Source: RNAcentral
UAGGGAAUAUUAGUAAUGGGCGAAAGCCUGAACUAGCAACGCCGCGUGUGCGAAGAAGGCCUUCGGGUUGUAAAGCACUUUUUGAGAGGAUGAGGAAGGACGGUACUCUCAGAAUAAGUCUCGGCUAACUACGUGCCAGCAGCCGCGGUAACACGUAGGAGGCAAACGUUAUCCGGAUUUACUGGGCGUAAAGCGCGUGUAGGUGGUUUGGUAAGUAGGGCGUGAAAGCUCCUGGCUCAACUGGGAGAGGACGUUCUAAACUGCCAAGCUUGAGGAUGGUAGAGGGAGGGGGAAUUCCGGGUGUAGCGGUGGAAUGCGCAGAUAUACGGAGGAACACCAGUGGCGAAGGCGGCCUCCUGGACCACUCCUGACACUCAGACGCGAAAGCUAGGUUAGCAAACGG